This 443-nucleotide ribosomal RNA is filed under the name uncultured bacterium. Its description in RNAcentral is "partial 16S ribosomal RNA". It matches the Rfam family "Bacterial small subunit ribosomal RNA", at positions 338 to 795 of the family's 1533-position model. The record is from RNAcentral.
CCUACGGGUGGCAGCAGUGGGGAAUAUUGGGCAAUGGGCGCAAGCCUGACCCAGCAACGCCGCGUGAAGGAAGAAGGCUCUCGGGUUGUAAACCUCUUUUCUCAGGGACGAAGCAAGUGACGGUACCUGAGGAAUAAGCCACGGCUAACUACGUGCCAGCAGCCGCGGUAAUACGUAGGUGGCAAGCGUUAUUCGGAUUUACUGGGUGUAAAGGGCGUGUAGGCGGGGAGGCAAGUCAGAUGGGAAAACCACGGGCUCAACCCGUGGCCUGCAUUUGAAACUGUGUUUCUUGAGUACUGGAGAGGCAGACGGAAUUCCGAGUGUAGCGGUGAAAUGCGUAGAUAUUAGGAGGAACACCAGUGGCGAAGGCGGUCUGCUGGACAGCAACUGACGCUGAGGCGCGAAAGCGUGGGUAGCAAACAGGAUUAGAUACCCUGGUAGUC